GUCUAGGGCAUGUAUUUGCGGCAUGGGUGGGGGAAACAAGGCUCGGGGCGUUGCUGGGAUCUUUAUAGCGCGCAAGUAACCAAUUUUGCAAGGAAAUCUCGGAAGAAACGGAGUUGGAUUCGGCGUUCACGGCUUCGGCUGAGUCCAGCUCGCACACGGCGAGAGGAAGACGACGGGCGCUGCCAGGUGGGGUCAUGGUGUAAGCCGAACAAGAGAGAAAACGGAGGGAGAGGGGCGGCGCUGACACGCGGGCCCCAACCGUCAGUGGCCAAGGAAGAGAAGAGAGGGGGGUGCGCUGUGGGCCUGUCCACUGGCUCUGCGCGCUAGGCCGGGAAAGGAGUGGGAGUCGCAGGGCCGCGGGGGAGAAGAAGCAGGCCAGAGGAAAAAGUGAAGCUGGGCCUCGGCCAGACCCAGGGAGCUGUCUCCCCUUUUUUUUUAUUUUCUUUUGUUUGUAUUCUUUUCUUUUAUUUCCAAUACCUAUUUCAAGACAAUUUGAAAACCGUUUUCAAAUCAGUUUGAAAUGAUUUUGAACUUGGAUAAAAUUCGCACAAU
Molecule: long non-coding RNA, 552 nt
Filed under: Sorghum bicolor (sorghum)
Lineage: Eukaryota; Viridiplantae; Streptophyta; Magnoliopsida; Poales; Poaceae
Description: long non-coding RNA (SBIC_LNC010242)
Source: RNAcentral